This is a long non-coding RNA of Amphimedon queenslandica, 480 nucleotides long. RefSeq lists it as uncharacterized. The record is from RefSeq and is a predicted model, not a curated record. The transcript has 3 exons. NCBI's taxonomy places the organism in Eukaryota, Metazoa, Porifera, Demospongiae, Haplosclerida, Niphatidae.
UGCUUGUUAUCACUACUCAUCACUAAUUGUAAUUACAUCAGAGUAUGUGUAUAGCUUUUAUCCAUCCCCUCUUUAUUAUGGAGUCCUGUUUUUAUAAGCUGCUACUACUAUGGAUAAGAUCUGAUACAUUUUUAGAUGGUGAAGUUGUACUUAAAAUUGGACAGAGCUUUUCACAUUCUAAUCUUGUGGUAACAGCUAACAGGAUGGACCAUGUAGCUCAUUAUUUUAAGUGGAAAAUCCAACAGUCUAUCCGAAUGCUGCCGCAUUUCUUGCCAGAUUGGCAACCAAAUCCAAGGAUAGAUAUUUGGCACUUUUUUUGGCCGUACCCAUAAUUAGGGAUGCAUAGGCAGGAAAUACAAAAACAUUUAGUUAUUAUUAUUAGAAUUUAAAUUUAGGAUUUUUUCGUUAUAGUUUAUUAUUAUUAUUAUUAAUUAUUUCUGUAUUUCUUUGCCACAACAAUGUAUUAAAAUAAUUACAAUA